This 157-nucleotide ribosomal RNA is filed under the name Pestalotiopsis jiangxiensis. Its description in RNAcentral is "5.8S ribosomal RNA". The stretch from base 51 to 157 matches the Rfam family "5.8S ribosomal RNA", at positions 1 to 107 of the family's 154-position model. Rfam says of the family: 5.8S ribosomal RNA (5.8S rRNA) is a component of the large subunit of the eukaryotic ribosome. It is transcribed by RNA polymerase I as part of the 45S precursor that also contains 18S and 28S rRNA. The record is from RNAcentral. Lineage: Eukaryota; Fungi; Ascomycota; Sordariomycetes; Amphisphaeriales; Sporocadaceae.
UAAACUCUUGUUAUUUUAUGUAAUCUGAGCGUCUUAUUUUAAUAAGUCAAAACUUUCAACAACGGAUCUCUUGGUUCUGGCAUCGAUGAAGAACGCAGCGAAAUGCGAUAAGUAAUGUGAAUUGCAGAAUUCAGUGAAUCAUCGAAUCUUUGAACGC